AGCCAGCACAGACAGCAAUUCUGGGCCUAGCUGAGGACCCUGAGGGCAGAGGUGAGGUCCCGCCUUCCCACGCUGUCAGCAGGCGUCACGGUGGAAACUAGCUGAGGACCCUGAGGGCAGAGGUGAGGUCCCGCCUUCCCACGCUGUCAGCAGGCGUCACAUCACGGUGGAAACUAGCUGAAGACCCUGAGGGCAGAGAUGAAGUCCCGCCUUCCCACGCUGUCAGCAGGCGUCACAGUGGAACAGUGAUGCUUUCAGACAUGCAAGUCUCAACAUUGUUCUCCGUCACAUACUCCUCAAAUCUCCACUAGAAGAUAUGUUCCAUUAAAAUAAAAAAAAUCCAAAAAAGAAUAUGACACAAAAUCCAUGAAGGAGGGGAUCCAAUAUGAGAGAGACAGAGGGACCAGAGGGACCUCCAGGAUGAUCCUGACUCGAGAUCCCAAGAUGCCAGCUGUGCUGCCAACAUAAGGAUUAUAUAGUCGAGAUUAGCACAGGCCAGAAAUGUCCAGAAGAGAUUUCCUCAAGAUGAAAUGGAUAGAAUACCUCAGGUGUCAAAGCCCACAGAAUGUAGAACACCCAGAGUGAACCCUAAUGUGAACAUGGACUUCGGAUGAUGAUGUCGGUUCAUCGAAACACCCAGAGUGAACCCUAAUGUGAACAUGGACUUCGGAUGAUGAUGUCGGUUCAUUGAAAACACCCAGAGUGAACCCUAAUGUGAACAUGGACUUUGGAUGAUGAUGUGGGUUCAUCGAUUGUACCAAAAAUGCCUCUGUGGUACAGGAUGCUGACGGUGCGGAAGGCCACGAGUGUGUGGAGCAGGGGUAUAUGGGAACUCUCUGUACCUUCCACUUAAAUUUGUUGUGAACCUAAAAUUGCUCUAAAAAAUAAAGUCUAUUAAUAAUAAUAAAAAAGAAACCUCAAAAUAACACCAAAAACCCCUCAACAACAACAACAAAAAACCUAGUUUGGUAGUUCCUAAAAAAGCUAAACAUAGAAUUGCCAUAUGAUACAGCAAUUCUACUGCUGAGUAGACUGAAAAUAGGGACUCAGACAGAUACGCGGAAGCCAGUGUUCGCUGCAGCAAGACUCCAAUAGCCAAGAGGUGGACACAAACGACCUAAGUGUCCAUCAACUGAUUCAAAACGUGACAGAUCCAUACAAUGGAGUGUUAUUGAGACAUAAAGGAACACCGUAAGGAAUACUGUUCUGAUACAUGGCACAAUGUGGAUGAACCCUGAGAAUGCCACGCUAAGUAAAAGGAGUCAGGUACAAAAGGACAAACAUGGUAUGAUUCUACUUAUAAGGACUAUCUAGAUUAGGCAAAUCCACAGAGAGAGGACGUAGAAUAGAGGCUGUCAGGGCUGGGGGAGGAGGAAGAGGGAGGGAUUGUUUAGUGAGUACAGAGUUUCUGAGACGCUCGGUGGCAAUGUGCAUGACAACGUGAAUGUAUUUAGUGCCACUUAACUAUACACGUAAAAACAGUUAAAAUGGAAAUGUUUAUGUUAUAUAUAUUUUGCCACAAUUUUAAGAAAAAAAAGCCCAGUGAUCCCUCCCUUUCUCCUUUCCCCUUCCUCAAAAGCAAUUACGUCUAAAGCCGUUAAGUGAGGCAAGGUAGGUGAUCUGUUUGGAGGGGUGGGGGAGGUGUGUGACCGGGAGGUCACGCAGAGUUGGCCGGGUGACGAGGGUAAUGGGAGUGGGAGAAAGUGGACGGGAUGUGGAUAGAUCAGAUGAGUAAACAUGCUGAGAUGACAGCAGCUGGACUUCUCACUGUUGGUGAAGGAAGUACAUAUGUGAAAAGGUGGAAAACUAAAAUAAAUGCUUUGGUAUCAGACAAGGUCUCCAACCGAUGGAAUCAAACCAACCUUACUGAUGCAAACUCAUGAUUACUUACACACACACACACGCACUCACAGGAGAGUGUACUGAUACAUAUACAUACAUUUCCUACCUUACUAAGAGGGCCUGAUGAGCUGGUAUUCCCAAUU
RNAcentral lists this long non-coding RNA (1985 nucleotides) under Homo sapiens (human). Its description in RNAcentral is "HSALNT0067653". Lineage: Eukaryota; Metazoa; Chordata; Mammalia; Primates; Hominidae. The record is from RNAcentral.